GCUAUGAGUGUCGAUCAGUGUCUU
Molecule: non-coding RNA, 24 nt
Filed under: Arabidopsis thaliana (thale cress)
Lineage: Eukaryota; Viridiplantae; Streptophyta; Magnoliopsida; Brassicales; Brassicaceae
Source: RNAcentral